CCCCCAGAACUAUCAGUGCAGCCCCCACCAUGCAGUCUGCCCUCGGUCUGCUUUCCAUCCUGACCCUGUUCCAAGGUGUGCAGGGUGACGUCCAGCUGGUGGAGUCCGGGGGAGACGUGAGACAGCCUGGGGGGUCUCUGCGCCUCUCCUGUAAAGCCUCCGGAUUCACCUUCAGCAGUUACAGGAUGAACUGGGUCCGCCAGGCUCCAGGGAAGGGACUCGAAUGGGUCGCAUACAUAAGUACUAGUUCAAACCCAAUAUACUAUCUAGACUCCGUGAAAGGCCGAUUCACCAUCUCCAGAGACGAUGCCAACAGCCUGCUGCAUCUGCAAAUGAACAGCCUGAAAACCGAGGACACGGCCCUUUAUUACUGUGCGAGAGACACAGUGAGAGAAACCACAUACUGA
Tachyglossus aculeatus (Australian echidna) is the source of this 407-nucleotide non-coding RNA. NCBI's taxonomy places the organism in Eukaryota, Metazoa, Chordata, Mammalia, Monotremata, Tachyglossidae. The record is from the annotation of a RefSeq genome assembly.